RNAcentral lists this long non-coding RNA (519 nucleotides) under Solanum tuberosum (potato). Its description in RNAcentral is "long non-coding RNA (STUB_LNC008401)". Lineage: Eukaryota; Viridiplantae; Streptophyta; Magnoliopsida; Solanales; Solanaceae. The record is from RNAcentral.
GGAUAUGUAGAUGAUAUAAAAUAUUGGGAAUCCUCCAUUUACCCGCCAAUUGUCCUUCUCUCUUCCACAUUAUCCAUUAAUCCCCAAUUCCUUCUAAAACCUCUCACACACCAACCGAACCUCCGAUUUCUCCCAGAAUUUCAGCCGCUGAUCAAAUGUGGAGCAAUGGUUAGUCUUCCUGUGAACCAAAGUCGUUCAAAGAUGCAUCAGUUUCAAGCCUUACCUGCUCAUAUUCAUGGAGAUAUGGUUGUACUGUUUCCUUCCAGAAAAUGCUGGCAGCAACAGAAACAACACCAUUUUCAGAGACCGGCAUUGUCUUCUUCUUCUUCUUCCUCGCCGGUGUCUGGCCGUCAGUCCAGAAGGUAUUAUUUGGGCAGAUUCAAAAGACGCUUCCGUUCUGAACCUAAUCUAAAACCACUCACUUCCCGUAUUGUUGAUCUCACUCGCAGAAGGCAACUUCAUCAGGUCUCUCUCGAAUUAGAACAUAGGGUUAUUUUUCCUCAAUUUACGCUCUUACUG